RNAcentral lists this long non-coding RNA (2378 nucleotides) under Sus scrofa (pig). RNAcentral's name for it is "lncRNA (ENSSSCG00040070899.1)". The record is from RNAcentral. Lineage: Eukaryota; Metazoa; Chordata; Mammalia; Artiodactyla; Suidae.
AUUGCCUAUAAUUGUAAACAUCUGAACAUCAGGAUUUUCAGGAAAAGUUCUGCCCUGCAAGAGUGAAACCCAACCCAAUGUUGUUUUUGCCUGGUGACUCUUCAGGCUACUUGUCAUGGAGAGGCCAACCCAGCAAUUUACCAAGAGAAUUGCAUCAGGAAGAGCCUAGCCGAUUCUUUCAAGAAGUCAUAUCACCAGAGAUAAUCAGGGCUCUGAGCAGAAAAUGCCACAUGCCCCAGCCUCUUCUCCUUUCCUCGGAACAUGUGUCCUUCAGAAGUGUGUCAAAACAGCACUGGAUCUCAUGUUACCUUCUGCCAGUGUAAGCCUUGACCAGACUCGAUUUGCUUCAACUCAUACAUUUAAGUGAAAUGCCUGAAAUUAAAAUGACAUAACCCUGGCCCAAAGGAGAGGGGACUGUGGUGGGAAGAGCUUGGAAGACCUGGGUUUCAGUCCCAACUUCAGCGUUUAACAACUGUGGGAGAGGAGGAUGAAUGGCUUAAGACAACUCAGCUUCCUCAUCUGCAAAAUGGGAAGGAAUGGAACCAGAAGAUCGAUUCUGAACCUUCUAAGAAGACACGACCCUUUUUGAACAACGUCAGAAGCUUCUGCUCACCUCCCUCAAUCUGGGCACACGGUCUUCUUCAGCAACUCCUGGCCCUGGUGGAGAAACCCCAGCUAGAUAGUCACCCAGCUCUUUGUGAGGCUGAUGUUUGCUCAUGCUGUGAUGGAGAAGGGCAAGAUGUGUUCCUGGGACUGUAGCAAGAGAAAUGCCUAACAUGAUUGGCCUGUGGCUCUCCCCAUGUACAAUUUGCCCUUAUCGUGAUAAGGUUAUACAUAGUCAUAAACUAUAAAAUUAAAGUCUGUAUGAACUAUAAUAAAUACCUGUAGCUAAAAAAGUAGGUUCACAUGUAAACAAACAAACAAACAAACAAACAAAAGAUGGAUUAGAAAGAGAGAUGCAAAGGGACUCUGCACAGGCUCUGAUGUGGCUGCUUCUCUGGAAGAAACUAAUGGCCAAAGUCCAAGUCAGGGUGGGAACAGCCAAGCUGGUGUCUCCCCUCAAAACUCAGCCCCUGAGCUGCAGGAAGGAAGGCAGCCUGGGAGCCUGGGGAAAGAGACACCCCUUGACAAGUGGCUCGUUCCACAGGGAGACUCUGGGGAAGCUCCCUGCUACCCUCCAGCUCCAAGGAUGUGAGACUUUAGAAGCUCUGCCUCCAGGAACACCUGAAUAUUCCCCAUCAGUAUUGUUUCCAGACGCUUUCAAUGAGAGACCCGAAUGAUCUGUGACGAGCCCCUCUGCCUUUCAGCUGGCAGUGCUUUUAGCCUCAGCCUUGUCUUACUCAAACUUCCUUUGAACAUCCCUGCCCAUUUCCCCCUUCAUCCUACUAUGUAUACGAAGCUCCAUAAAUUCUUCUCAAAUGAGGGUUAAAGUGUAAAGAGGUAAAGCUGCUUAAUGGUUAAAAAACAAAACAAAACAGAUUCUGGAGCUGUACCACCUCACUUCAGAUAUAAGCUUAAUAGCUGUGUGUCCUUGGUAAGCUACUUACCCUCUCUGUGCCUCAUUGCUUCACCUAUAAAAUGUAGUUAAUAAUCUAUUCAACUUCAUAGGAUUGUGAGAUAUGAGUGAGUUAAUAAAGUGCUUAGAAGAGUGUCUGGCACAGAGCAAGCACUUCACGGUAUUGGCUGUGAUUAUUUUCCAAAAUUUCUCACAUUUUUUCCCCUAAAUUAGUUCCUUCCUCAGUAUUUUUAUUUUUUGGGAAAAAGGAAAAGCCAUAGGCACACAAUAAAGCAGCUAUAGAGUCAGUAGUAACAAAAUUGAAGAAUUUCUACCCUCUGUCUUUCCUCUUACUCUUCUCCUAAUUUGGAAAGGAUGAUUCGUCAUUAUUUUCUAUGAAUCCAUCACCUGUAAUUAAUUGAUUUUUUUUUUCAAAAAGGACUAUUAGUGAACUUAAUAAUGCAAGCAGGACUGGGGAGAAGACUUGGAGGAAGAUGGAUUUGCCUCUCAUCCAGGUCUCUGUCUCCCUCCCGAGGUACCUUUACUGCUAGAGGGAACGGAGCACCACAGAUAUUUUCCUUUGAAUUUUCAAGUUUGGGUAUAAAUUUGAAGCUAAUGUUCAGAUUUAGUUUUGAAAUUAAUCUAUUAAAAUCUGAUGGGGGAGUUCCCGCUGUGGCACAGGGGAAAGGAAUCUGACUAGGAACCAUGAGGUUGCAGGUUCGAUCCCGCCUUGCUUGGUGGGUUAAGAAUCUGGCGUUGCUGUGGCUGUGGUGUAGGCUGGUGGCUACAGCUCCGAUUCGACCCCUAGCCUGGGAACCUCCAUAUGCCACAAGUGUGGCCCUAUAAAGACAAAAAAAAAAAAAAAAAAAAAAAAAAAAAAAAA